UAUAACAUUUAACUUUUCAUCUUAUUUAAAAUUUUUCUAUCAUCAGUAUUUCUAUUUUUAUUAGAUGAUAAAAUAUAAAUAGCACUUUAUAUGCGACUAUAUAAAAAAUUCAUAAAAAAUUUAAAUAAGAUGGGUAGUCAAGUGUUGGACA
This 151-nucleotide microRNA precursor is filed under the name Oryza glumipatula. Its description in RNAcentral is "MIR812 microRNA precursor family". It matches the Rfam family "MIR812 microRNA precursor family", at positions 27 to 181 of the family's 205-position model. The record is from Rfam by way of RNAcentral. Lineage: Eukaryota; Viridiplantae; Streptophyta; Magnoliopsida; Poales; Poaceae.